CAAAAACAAAACAAAAA
This 17-nucleotide small RNA is filed under the name Arabidopsis thaliana (thale cress). RNAcentral's name for it is "ATSL293610". Lineage: Eukaryota; Viridiplantae; Streptophyta; Magnoliopsida; Brassicales; Brassicaceae. The record is from RNAcentral.